RNAcentral lists this ribosomal RNA (429 nucleotides) under Verrucomicrobiota bacterium. Its description in RNAcentral is "Verrucomicrobia bacterium partial 16S ribosomal RNA". It matches the Rfam family "Bacterial small subunit ribosomal RNA", at positions 355 to 776 of the family's 1533-position model. The record is from RNAcentral. Lineage: Bacteria; Pseudomonadati; Verrucomicrobiota.
UAGGGAAUCUUCCGCAAUGGACGAAAGUCUGACGGAGCGACGCCGCGUGAGUGAAGAAGGAUUUCGGUUCGUAAAACUCUGUUGUUAGGGAAGAAAAAAUGUAUAGUAACUAUAUACAAAAGAGACGGUACCUAACCAGAAAGCCACGGCUAACUACGUGCCAGCAGCCGCGGUAAUACGUAGGUGGCAAGCGUUGUCCGGAAUUAUUGGGCGUAAAGCGCGCGCAGGUGGUUUAGAAAGUCUGAUGUGAAAGCCCACGGCUCAACCGUGGAGGGUCAUUGGAAACUAAUAAACUUGAGUGCAGGAGAGAAAAGUGGAAUUCCUAGUGUAGCGGUGAAAUGCGUAGAGAUUAGGAGGAACACCGGUGGCGAAAGCGGCUUUUUGGCCUGCAACUGACACUGAGGCGCGAAAGCGUGGGGAGCAAACAGG